UGGGGAAUCUUGCACAAUGGACGAAAGUCUGAUGCAGCAACGCCGCGUGGGGGAUGAAGCUUCUCGGAGUGUAAACCCCUUUCGACCCGGAAGAAUGCCCGCAAGGGUUUGACGGUACGGGUAUAAGAAGCCCCGGCUAACUACGUGCCAGCAGCCGCGGUAAUACGUAGGGGGCCAGCGUUGCUCGGAAUUACUGGGCGUAAAGGGUCCGUAGGCGGUGUGGUAAGUCGGGAGUGAAAUCUCUGGGCUUAACCCAGAGGCUGCUUCCGAAACUGCCGUGCUAGAGUGUGAGAGAGGCGAGUGGAAUUACGGGUGUAGCGGUGAAAUGCGUAGAUAUCCGUAGGAACAUCCGAGGCGAAGGCGGCUCGCUGGAUCACAACUGACGCUGAGGGACGAAAGCUAGGGGAGCAAACAGGAUUAGAUACCCUGGUAGUCCUAGCCCUAAACCAUCAGGACUUGGGGUGUGCCCUGUACGGGGCACGUCCCGUAGCUAACGCGUUAAGUCCUGCGCCUGGGGAGUACGGUCGCAAGGCUG
RNAcentral lists this ribosomal RNA (535 nucleotides) under uncultured bacterium. RNAcentral describes it as "bacterial SSU rRNA". It matches the Rfam family "Bacterial small subunit ribosomal RNA", at positions 355 to 896 of the family's 1533-position model. The record is from RNAcentral.